RNAcentral lists this ribosomal RNA (513 nucleotides) under uncultured marine eukaryote. RNAcentral's name for it is "SSU rRNA". It matches the Rfam family "Eukaryotic small subunit ribosomal RNA", at positions 619 to 1129 of the family's 1831-position model. The record is from RNAcentral.
UUAAAAAGCUCGUAGUUGGAUUUCUGGUACAAUGCGCCUGGCCCGCGGCAGCAAUGCCUGUGAGUGCCGGUGCGCGUUUGCCAUCCUUCUAGAAAACGUUUCUACCCUUCACUGGGCCGGACUCGCGAUCUAGAUCUUUUACUUUGAAAAAAUUAGAGUGUUCAAAGCAGGCUUUUGCUGUGAAUACAUUAGCAUGGAAUAAUAAUCUAGGACUUCGGUUCUAUUUUGUUGGUUUCUAGUACUGAAGUAAUGAUUGAUAGGGAUAGUUGGGGGUGCUAGUAUUGGCCGGCCAGAGGUGAAAUUCUUGGAUUCGGUCAAGACUAACUUAUGCGAAAGCAUUCACCAAGGAUGUCUUCUUUAAUCAAGAACGAAAGUUGGGGGAUCGAAGACGAUCAGAUACCGUCGUAGUCUCAACCAUAAACUAUGCCAACUAGGGAUGGGUGAACGUUGCUUUUCGACUUCAUCUGCACCCUUAUGAGAAAUCAAGUCUUUGGGUUCCGGGGGGAGUAUGGU